RNAcentral lists this long non-coding RNA (2418 nucleotides) under Homo sapiens (human). RNAcentral describes it as "long independently transcribed non-coding RNA 1538 (LINC01538)". Lineage: Eukaryota; Metazoa; Chordata; Mammalia; Primates; Hominidae. The record is from RNAcentral.
GGGAUGCCCCGCAGGCCUGGACUGAUCCACCAGGAGAACUUCAGUGCAUCAUGGGUCCUGCUAUUGCUCAUCCUCUUCCCUGGAAAUGUGCGGUUUCACAGGAUGGUAAACAUCUUUCCCUGGAACAGAGCCUUGAGGAUGCUAUGGUGCAGUAUGAUGACCACCAUCCCAGUCUGCCAAGGAAUGAGUAACUUCCUGCAAUUUAGGACUUUCGGCCCUAAAACCAGUACAGUCCUGGACACACUAAGAUUGUUGGUCACCCUAGAAGAAUGGAGAUCUGGCGGCUACCACUCACAUAUACUCGUAGAACAUUGAUUGCAAGGUAACUUACUGGCUGAAGCAGGUGAUGCAUUGCUUCGGUGGGGCUGAUGUCGAAAACCUUCAGCUUCCCAAGACAACACUGAUCAGGCCUCCAGGAGCAUUUCUCCUGCUCAGUGUCACAGUGCCACUGCAGAGCGCAAUUCCUGGGGCACGUCGGACAUUCAGUAAAUACGUUUAUUGAAUGAAUAAAACAUAACACAGUAAGUAAUUCAUCUUAAAGUCAACCAUUUACAUUACUUUUUAUCCCUGAAUACCCUUCCUCUACCUGUCAAUUCAGCAGUCCAAGGGAAAAACCAGCUUGGUCAACAUUAAAUUUGGAGCUCCCACAUCAUAUAUUUUCAUAGAACUAAACUAAGACAUAGUUUAAAGAGAAAAUGUUUCACUCCUCACGUGACCAUGUUCUCUUUGGACUGGCUUUUCCCCUUCCAUUCCAUAUCUCUAAGUCCAGUUUAUCCUUUGAGUCCUGACUCACUCAAGCUUCUCCCCACUUCCUUCCUUGACCACUUGUUAAGUGUUUGCACCAGUAGUCUAGAAGUAUAAAGGCAUACACCUCAUUAUCACUACACACUGUUUCAUAGGUAAGUCUUAAUUUCAAAUUAGUUCCUAACUCCUUGUUGACAAUGACUAUGACCAAGACGUCAAUCCUCCUUUAGGGUCUAAAACAGUACUGUGCAUGUCAGAGGCAUUCAUUAUAUGCUUGUGAAUUGACCAGAAUAAAUGACCGAAUUGAAGUCUGAUUUUGGUCAAUUCACCAGACAAAGGGCCACAGAAGCAUUGCAUCCUUUCAUGACAGAAUUAGGGCAUGAUUCCAUUUCUAUAUGAAAUACUAGCUGUGUGUUGUUAUUAAAAUUAUUUUCUGGCCCCACUGAGAGUUGAAAGAAAAGUUGAAAUUUAAAGGAUUCCUUCUAUUCAUCAUUUUUAAGAAAUUUCAUUUUUAGUUAUGAGGCAGUGUAAGGCAUAUUACCAUUUUAUUUGGACACUUAUUUAGACCAGAUUGCAAAUUUUCUGUUAAUUGAGUGCUGAAUUGGCCAACACACCAUUGUAGAUGUACUCCAUAGCUUCUGCACAUGGAAUUUAUUACAGACUUUUCAUCCACAUCUGCUCCUUUACUUUGCUUAAUAUACUAUAGUAUUUCUCUUAGAUACAGGGGAAGACAAAGAAUAUCAAAUGACAAGUGAAGAAAAAUUAACUUAGAAUUAUUCACAGUUAAAUUGUAUCUAUACUCAGGUUAUCUAAUAAAAUAUUAAAUAAACUAUGUAUCUUUUUUGUUGUCCUGUUAUAUACUUUCCAUGUUUCUCAUUACACAAAUACACAUUUAGAAAGCUGAAAAUAUGUAGAUGAGCAAAUACGAGGUUACCUAAAAUCCUAUCAUCCAGAGAUGAUAACUAUUGACAUUCUGCUAUAUAUACUUCUAAACAUUUUCUUGUAAAACAUAAUUUUUAAAUAGAUUAUAUUCGUAUUUUUGAGGAAAAUAUUUUUCAGUUAACAAGUUGCUAUUUCAAAAUUAACACUGUAAAUUCCUUUCUAUGACAGUAAAUACACAUGUAUAUUUCAUGUGAAAUAGUUGUAGCAACUUUUACUGUAUAAACCCAUGUAACAUAUUUAGCAAAUCAAUACAUAUUGUAGGAAACUUAGUUUCCAAUUUUCAAUAUGUUAAAAUUUUGACAAGAAUAUUUUUGUGUAAACAUUUUUAUAAGUAUAUAAUGCUUCCUGAGGAUAAAUUCUAAAAAGAGGUCUUACUAAGUCAAUAUAUAUUUUUUCCUAUAAUUUUGACAUGAUUUGCGAAUUUGCCCUUCAAAAAACUUAUACCCAUUUAUACUCUGUUUCACCCUUCCUAAAAAGUACUAGUUAUCAUCCUUCACUUUUCAUGUUUAGAAUCGGUUAGGUGAAAAAUAGCAUUUCCAUUUACUAUUUUUUAUUAUUUUCAACUACUGUUGAGGUUAAAUAUCUUUCUAUGUGGUUUUGGGCCAAUUUUAUUUUUCUACUAGAAUGAUAAUCUUUUAUUGGUUUUUCAGACUAUUACCUAUAUUCCUGAGUCUGACAUAUCAAAGUUUUUAAUCCAAUAAAUAAAAUAUCAUUUUAAUAAAAAAAAAAAAA